UACGGAGGGUGCAAGCAUUAAUCGGAUUUAUUGGGCGUAAAGGGCGCGUAGGCUGGUUUGUAAGUCAGAUGUGAAAUCCCGGGGCUCAACCCCGGAACAGCAUUUGAAACUGCAUACCUAGAGGGUAGGCGGAGAAAACGGAAUUCCACAUGUAGCGGUGAAAUGCGUGGAUAUGUGGAGGAACACCGGUGGCGAAGGCGGUUUUCUAGCUUUCUCCUGACGCUGAGGCGCGAGAGCAAGGGGAGCAAACAGG
This 253-nucleotide ribosomal RNA is filed under the name uncultured bacterium. RNAcentral's name for it is "partial 16S ribosomal RNA". It matches the Rfam family "Bacterial small subunit ribosomal RNA", at positions 524 to 776 of the family's 1533-position model. The record is from RNAcentral.